Molecule: ribosomal RNA, 499 nt
Filed under: uncultured bacterium
Lineage: Bacteria
Description: bacterial SSU rRNA
Rfam family: Bacterial small subunit ribosomal RNA
Source: RNAcentral
AUUGAACGCUGGCGGCAUGCUUUACACAUGCAAGUCGAACGGUAACAGGUCUUCGGAUGCUGACGAGUGGCGAACGGGUGAGUAAUGUAUCGGAACGUGCCCAGUAGUGGGGGAUAACUACUCGAAAGAGUGGCUAAUACCGCAUGAGAACUGAGGUUGAAAGCGGGGGACCUUCGGGCCUCGCGCUACUGGAGCGGCCGAUAUCAGAUUAGGUAGUUGGUGGGGUAAAGGCCUACCAAGCCGACGAUCUGUAGCUGGUCUGAGAGGACGACCAGCCACACUGGGACUGAGACACGGCCCAGACUCCUACGGGAGGCAGCAGUGGGGAAUUUUGGACAAUGGACGCAAGUCUGAUCCAGCAAUGCCGCGUGCAGGACGAAGGCCUUCGGUUGUAAACUGCUUUGUACAGAACGAAAAGGACUCUGGUUAAUACCUGGGGCUCAUGACGGUACUGUAAGAAUAAGCACCGGCUAACUACGUAGCCAGCAGCCGCGGUAAA